RNAcentral lists this ribosomal RNA (253 nucleotides) under uncultured bacterium. RNAcentral describes it as "partial 16S ribosomal RNA". It matches the Rfam family "Bacterial small subunit ribosomal RNA", at positions 524 to 776 of the family's 1533-position model. The record is from RNAcentral.
GACGUAGGGCGCGAGCGUUGUCCGGCUUUAUUGGGCGUAAAGAGCUCGUAGGCGGCUUGUUGCGUCGACCGUGAAAACCCGGGGCUCAACUUCGGGCUUGCGGUCGAUACGGGCGGGCUAGAGUUCGGUAGGGGAGACUGGAAUUCCUGGUGUAGCGGUGAAAUGCGCAGAUAUCAGGAGGAACACCGGUGGCGAAGGCGGGUCUCUGGGCCGAUACUGACGCUGAGGAGCGAAAGCGUGGGGAGCGAACAGG